UAUCGUAAUUGAAGAGGUUUGGAAAGACCCACCACAGAAGGUAAUAGUCCUGUAUGUUAAACGAGAAGACUUUAGAUAUGAUCCAGAGUACCACGGGACACGUGAAACCCUGUGGGAAGCAGGAGGGACCACCCUCCAAGGCUAAAUACUACCUAGUGACCGAUAGCGUAUAGUACCGUGAGGGAAAGGUGAAAAGAACCCCGGGAGGGGAGUGAAAUAGAACCUGAAACCCUGCACUUACAAGCUGUGGAAGCACAUUUCUUGUGUGACCGCGUACUUUUUGUAGAACGGGCCAACGAGUUACGUUAAGUAGCAAGGUUAAGCACUUAAGGUGUGGAGCCGUAGCGAAAGCGAGUUUUAACUGAGCGUUCAGUUACUUGACGUAGACCCGAAACCGGGCGACCUACCCAUGAGCAGGAUGAAGCGAAAGUAAAAUUUCGUGGAGGUCCGAACCCACGAGCGUUGAAAAGCUCGGGGAUGACUUGUGGGUAGCGGUGAAAUUCCAAUCGAGCCCGGAGAUAGCUGGUUCUCCCCGAAAUAGCUUUAGGGCUAGCCUCAAGGUGAGAGAUACGGAGGUAGAGCACUGAAUGUCCUAGGGGGUAUUGCACCUACCGAAGACUAUCAAACUCCGAAUGCCGUCAUCUUAUACUUGGGAGUCAGACUGUGGGUGAUAAGAUUCAUAGUCGAAAGGGCAACAGCCCAGAUCGUCAGCUAAGGUCCCUAAAUGUAAGUUAAGUGGUAAAGGAUGUGGGAUUGCACAGACAACCAGGAUGUUGGCUUAGAAGCAGCCACUCAUUCAAAGAGUGCGUAAUAGCUCACUGGUCGAGUGAUCCUGCGCCGAAGAUUUCCGGGGCUAAAACUUACUACCGAAGCUACGGCAUCAGUAAUGAUGGGUAGGGGAGCUUCCCAUACGGGUUGAAGCAUGACCGUAAGGACAUGUGGACAGUAUGGGAGUGAGAAUGUUGGCAUGAGUAGCGAGAUGUGGGUGAGAAUCCCACAGGCCGUAAACCCAAGGUUUCCAGGGGAAGGUUCGUCCGCCCUGGGUUAGUCGGGACCUAAGCUGAGGCCGAAAGGCGUAGGUGAUGG
This 1086-nucleotide ribosomal RNA is filed under the name Clostridioides difficile. RNAcentral's name for it is "partial 23S ribosomal RNA". It matches the Rfam family "Bacterial large subunit ribosomal RNA", at positions 325 to 1421 of the family's 2925-position model. Lineage: Bacteria; Bacillati; Bacillota; Clostridia; Peptostreptococcales; Peptostreptococcaceae. The record is from RNAcentral.